RNAcentral lists this ribosomal RNA (687 nucleotides) under uncultured bacterium. Its description in RNAcentral is "bacterial SSU rRNA". It matches the Rfam family "Bacterial small subunit ribosomal RNA", at positions 813 to 1500 of the family's 1533-position model. The record is from RNAcentral.
CGACUUGGAGGUUGUUCCCUUGAGGAGUGGCUUCCGGAGCUAACGCGUUAAGUCGACCGCCUGGGGAGUACGGCCGCAAGGUUAAAACUCAAAUGAAUUGACGGGGGCCCGCACAAGCGGUGGAGCAUGUGGUUUAAUUCGAUGCAACGCGAAGAACCUUACCUACUCUUGACAUCCAGAGAACUUAGCAGAGAUGCUUUGGUGCCUUCGGGAACUCUGAGACAGGUGCUGCAUGGCUGUCGUCAGCUCGUGUUGUGAAAUGUUGGGUUAAGUCCCGCAACGAGCGCAACCCUUAUCCUUUGUUGCCAGCGAUUCGGUCGGGAACUCAAAGGAGACUGCCGGUGAUAAACCGGAGGAAGGUGGGGAUGACGUCAAGUCAUCAUGGCCCUUACGAGUAGGGCUACACACGUGCUACAAUGGCGCAUACAAAGAGAAGCGACCUCGCGAGAGCAAGCGGACCUCACAAAGUGCGUCGUAGUCCGGAUCGGAGUCUGCAACUCGACUCCGUGAAGUCGGAAUCGCUAGUAAUCGUGGAUCAGAAUGCCACGGUGAAUACGUUCCCGGGCCUUGUACACACCGCCCGUCACACCAUGGGAGUGGGUUGCAAAAGAAGUAGGUAGCUUAACCUUCGGGAGGGCGCUUACCACUUUGUGAUUCAUGACUGGGGUGAAGUCGUAACAAGGUAUC